This 165-nucleotide ribosomal RNA is filed under the name uncultured bacterium. Its description in RNAcentral is "partial 16S rRNA". It matches the Rfam family "Bacterial small subunit ribosomal RNA", at positions 355 to 511 of the family's 1533-position model. The record is from RNAcentral.
UAGGGAAUCUUCGGCAAUGGGGGCAACCCUGACCGAGCAACGCCGCGUGAGUGAAGAAGGUUUUCGGAUCGUAAAGCUCUGUUGUAAGAGUAGAACGUGUGUGAGAGUGGAAAGUUCACACAGUGACGGUAACUUACCAGAAAGGGACGGCUAACUACGUGCCAC